AACGAACGCUGGCGGCAUGCCUAACACAUGCAAGUCGAACGAGACCUUCGGGUCUAGUGGCGCACGGGUGCGUAACGCGUGGGAACCUGCCCUUAGGUUCGGAAUAACUCCCCGAAAGGGGUGCUAAUACCGGAUAAUGUCUUCGGACCAAAGAUUUAUCGCCUUUGGAUGGGCCCGCGUUGGAUUAGCUAGUUGGUAGGGUAAAAGCCUACCAAGGCGACGAUCCAUAGCUGGUCUGAGAGGAUGAUCAGCCACACUGGGACUGAGACACGGCCCAGACUCCUACGGGAGGCAGCAGUGGGGAAUAUUGGACAAUGGGCGGAAGCCUGAGCCAGCAAUGCCGCGUGAGUAAUGAAGGCCUUAGGGUUGUAAAGCUCUUUUACCCGGGAUGAUGAUGACAGUACCGGGAGAAUAAGCUCCGGCUAACUCCGUG
RNAcentral lists this ribosomal RNA (433 nucleotides) under uncultured bacterium. Its description in RNAcentral is "partial 16S ribosomal RNA". It matches the Rfam family "Bacterial small subunit ribosomal RNA", at positions 29 to 507 of the family's 1533-position model. The record is from RNAcentral.